UUUCUCGGGUUUCUCUUCAUAACGCACAAGUCUUUCGCCUUUUACUAAAGACUUCCGUGGAGAGGAACACCAAUGAGUUAAACCUAUUUUUGGCGGGUAAAUACUAACGUUUAG
Dicentrarchus labrax (European seabass) is the source of this 114-nucleotide small nuclear RNA. Its record names the gene U5. It matches the Rfam family "U5 spliceosomal RNA". From Rfam's summary of the family: U5 RNA is a component of both types of known spliceosome. The precise function of this molecule is unknown, though it is known that the 5' loop is required for splice site selection and p220 binding, and that both the 3' stem-loop and the Sm site are important for Sm protein binding and cap methylation. NCBI's taxonomy places the organism in Eukaryota, Metazoa, Chordata, Actinopteri, Moronidae. The record is from Ensembl.